UGGUCAAGUUAUUAAGGGUGCAGGGCGGAUGCCUUGGCACUAGGAGCCGAUGAAGGACGUGAUAAGCUGCGAUAAGCUUCGGGGAGUUGCACGUAAACUUUGAUCCGAAGAUUUCCGAAUGAGGAAACUCACUUAGAGUAAUGUCUAAGUAUCAUUAAGUGAAUACAUAGCUUAAUGAGGGGAACUCAGGGAACUGAAACAUCUAAGUACCUGAAGGAAGAGAAAGAAAUUCGAUUCCGUAAGUAGCGGCGAGCGAACGCGGAUUAGCCCAAACCAAUAAAGUUUUCUUUAUUGGGGUUGCGGACAUAUCAUAACGAAGAGGUAUCGUAAUUGAAGAGGUUUGGAAAGACCCACCACAGAAGGUAAUAGUCCUGUAUGUUAAACGAGAAGACUUUAGAUAUGAUCCAGAGUACCACGGGACACGUGAAACCCUGUGGGAAGCAGGAGGGACCACCCUCCAAGGCUAAAUACUACCUAGUGACCGAUAGCGUAUAGUACCGUGAGGGAAAGGUGAAAAGAACCCCGGGAGGGGAGUGAAAUAGAACCUGAAACCCUGCACUUACAAGCUGUGGAAGCACAUUUCUUGUGUGACCGCGUACUUUUUGUAGAACGGGCCAACGAGUUACGUUAAGUAGCAAGGUUAAGCACUUAAGGUGCGGAGCCGUAGCGAAAGCGAGUUUUAACUGAGCGUUCAGUUACUUGACGUAGACCCGAAACCGGGCGACCUACCCAUGAGCAGGAUGAAGCGAAAGUAAAAUUUCGUGGAGGUCCGAACCCACGAGCGUUGAAAAGCUCGGGGAUGACUUGUGGGUAGCGGUGAAAUUCCAAUCGAGCCCGGAGAUAGCUGGUUCUCCCCGAAAUAGCUUUAGGGCUAGCCUCAAGGUGAGAGAUACGGAGGUAGAGCACUGAAUGUCCUAGGGGGUAUUGCACCUACCGAAGACUAUCAAACUCCGAAUGCCGUCAUCUUAUACUUGGGAGUCAGACUGUGGGUGAUAAGAUUCAUAGUCGAAAGGGCAACAGCCCAGAUCGUCAGCUAAGGUCCCUAAAUGUAAGUUAAGUGGUAAAGGAUGUGGGAUUGCACAGACAACCAGGAUGUUGGCUUAGAAGCAGCCACUCAUUCAAAGAGUGCGUAAUAGCUCACUGGUCGAGUGAUCCUGCGCCGAAGAUUUCCGGGGCUAAAACUUACUACCGAAGCUACGGCAUCAGUAAUGAUGGGUAGGGGAGCUUCCCAUACGGGUUGAAGCAUGACCGUAAGGACAUGUGGACAGUAUGGGAGUGAGAAUGUUGGCAUGAGUAGCGAGAUGUGGGUGAGAAUCCCACAGGCCGUAAACCCAAGGUUUCCAGGGGAAGGUUCGUCCGCCCUGGGUUAGUCGGGACCUAAGCUGAGGCCGAAAGGCGUAGGUGAUGGACAACAGGUUGAUAUUCCUGUACUACCGAUAACUGUUUGAGAGAAGGGAUGACACAGUAGGAUAAGCUAAGCACACUGUUGGUUAUGUGUGCCCAAGCAUUGAGGCAGUCAAAGUAGGCAAAUCCGCUUUGAUAAUGCUGGGAUGUGAUGGGGAGCGAAAUUUAGUAGCGAAGUAGCUGAUUUCACACUGUCAAGAAAAGUCUCUAUCGAGGUUAAAGGUACCCGUACCGCAAACCGACACAGGUGGGUGAGGAGAGUAUCCUAAGGCCAGCGAGAGAACUGUUGUUAAGGAACUCGGCAAAAUGACCCCGUAACUUAGGGAUAAGGGGUGCCACCAUCAGGUGGCCGCAGAGAAUAGGCCCAAGCGACUGUUUACCAAAAACAUAGGUUUCUGCUAAGUCGCAAGACGAUGUAUAGGAGCUGACGCCUGCCCGGUGCUGGAAGGUUAAGGGGAUCUGUUAGAGCAAUCGAAGCAGUGAACUUAAGCCCCAGUAAACGGCGGCCGUAACUAUAACGGUCCUAAGGUAGCGAAAUUCCUUGUCGGGUAAGUUCCGACCCGCACGAAAGGCGUAACGAUUUGGGCACUGUCUCAACAACAGACUCGGUGAAAUUGUAAUUCCGGUGAAGAUGCCGGAUACCUGCGACAGGACGGAAAGACCCCAUGGAGCUUUACUGUAGCUUGACAUUGGGUCUUGGUACUACAUGUACAGGAUAGGUGGGAGGCUUUGAAACCAGGACGCCAGUUUUGGCGGAGCCAUCCUUGGGAUACCACCCUUGUAGUACUGGGACUCUAACCAUAGGCCAUGAAUCUGGUCUUGGGACACUGUCAGGUGGGCAGUUUGACUGGGGCGGUCGCCUCCCAAAAGGUAACGGAGGCGCUCAAAGGUUCUCUCAGUACGGUCGGAAAUCGUACGUAGAGUGUAAAGGCAAAAGAGAGCUUGAUUGCAAGACAUACAGGUCGAGCAAGGAUGAAAAUCGGACUUAGUGAUCCGGUGGUUCUGCGUGGAAGGGCCAUCGCUCAACGGAUAAAAGCUACCCUGGGGAUAACAGGCUUAUCUCCCCCAAGAGUCCACAUCGACGGGGAGGUUUGGCACCUCGAUGUCGGCUCAUCACAUCCUGGGGCUGUAGUAGGUCCCAAGGGUUGGGCUGUUCGCCCAUUAAAGUGGUACGCGAGCUGGGUUCAGAACGUCGUGAGACAGUUCGGUCCCUAUCCGUCGCAGGCGUAGGAAAUUUGAGAAGACCUGUCCUUAGUACGAGAGGACCGGGAUGGACGUACCUCUGGUGUACCAGUUGUCCUGCCAAGGGCAUGGCUGGGUAGCUAUGUGCGGAAUGGAUAAGCGCUGAAAGCAUCUAAGCGCGAAGCCAACUUCAAGAUAAGAUUUCCCACCGCAAGGGUAAGACCCCAGAAAGACUAUCUGGUUGAUAGGUCGAAGGUGUAAGUGCAGCAAUGUAUUUAGCUUAUCGAUACUAAUAGGUCGAGGACUUGACCAAUAUUUAUU
Molecule: ribosomal RNA, 2907 nt
Filed under: Clostridioides difficile
Lineage: Bacteria; Bacillati; Bacillota; Clostridia; Peptostreptococcales; Peptostreptococcaceae
Description: bacterial LSU rRNA
Rfam family: Bacterial large subunit ribosomal RNA
Source: RNAcentral